UGUCACUUCGUUCAACCGGAAGGACACCAGACUACGAAUCUGGAGAUCGGGGUUCGAUCCCCUGAGUGACAA
This 72-nucleotide transfer RNA is filed under the name Neolewinella agarilytica. Its description in RNAcentral is "Lewinella agarilytica tRNA". It matches the Rfam family "tRNA". Rfam says of the family: Transfer RNA (tRNA) molecules are approximately 80 nucleotides in length. The record is from Rfam by way of RNAcentral. Lineage: Bacteria; Pseudomonadati; Bacteroidota; Saprospiria; Saprospirales; Lewinellaceae.